This 450-nucleotide ribosomal RNA is filed under the name uncultured bacterium. Its description in RNAcentral is "partial 16S ribosomal RNA". It matches the Rfam family "Bacterial small subunit ribosomal RNA", at positions 338 to 795 of the family's 1533-position model. The record is from RNAcentral.
CCUACGGGCGGCUGCAGUAAGGAAUAUUGGUCAAUGGAGGAAACUCUGAACCAGCCAUCCCGCGUGAAGGAUGAAGGGGCUCUGCCUUGUAAACUUCUUUUGUCUGGGGCGAAAAAGCUCGAUUUAUCGAGAACUGACGGUACCAGAAGAAUAAGCACCGGCUAACUCCGUGCCAGCAGCCGCGGUACUACGGAGGGUGCAAGCGUUAUCCGGAUUCACUGGUGUGAAGGGGUCCUAGUGCGGCUGAGUAGAAAGGCUGUGGCUUAACCAUGGAAGUGCCAUUGAUACUGCAGAGCGUGAAUGAGGUUGAGGUUGGCGGAAUGUGACAUGUAGCGGUGAAAUGCUUAGAUAUGUCAUGGAACACCGAGUGCGAAGGCAGCUGACUGGACCUAUAUUGACGCUGAGGCACGAAAGCGUGGGGAGCGAACAGGAUUAGAUACCCUUGUAGUC